RNAcentral lists this unclassified non-coding RNA (361 nucleotides) under uncultured Helotiales. RNAcentral's name for it is "sequence contains ITS2". The stretch from base 1 to 154 matches the Rfam family "5.8S ribosomal RNA". Lineage: Eukaryota; Fungi; Ascomycota; Leotiomycetes; Helotiales. The record is from RNAcentral.
AACUUUUGACAACGGAUCACUUGGUUCUGGCAUCGAUGAAGAACGCAGCGAAAUGCGAUAAGUAAUGUGAAUUGCAGAAUUCAGUGAAUCAUCGAAUCCUUGAACGCACAUUGCGCCCCUUGGUAUUCCGGGGGGCAUGCCUGUUCGAGCGUCAUUAUAACCCUCAAGCUUAGCUUGGUGUUGGGGCCUGCCAACUGGCAGCCCUUAAAAUCAGUGGCGGUGCCAUCUGGCUCUAAGCGUAGUAAUUCUUCUCGCUACACGGUCCUGGUGGAUGCUUGCCAACAACCCCCAACUUUCUAAGUUUGACCUCGGAUCAGGUAGGGAUACCCGCUGAACUUAAGCAUAUCAAUAAGCGGAGGCU